GAUGAACGCUGGCGGCGUGCUUAACACAUGCAAGUCGAGCGAAGCAGUUAAGAAGAUUCUUCGGAUGAUUCUUAACUGACUGAGCGGCGGACGGGUGAGUAACGCGUGGGUGACCUGCCCCAUACCGGGGGAUAACAGCUGGAAACGGCUGCUAAUACCGCAUAAGCGCACAGAGCUGCAUGGCUCGGUGUGAAAAACUCCGGUGGUAUGGGAUGGGCCCGCGUCUGAUUAGGCAGUUGGCGGGGUAACGGCCCACCAAACCGACGAUCAGUAGCCGGCCUGAGAGGGCGACCGGCCACAUUGGGACUGAGACACGGCCCAAACUCCUACGGGAGGCAGCAGUGGGGAAUAUUGCACAAUGGGGGAAACCCUGAUGCAGCGACGCCGCGUGAGCGAAGAAGUAUUUCGGUAUGUAAAGCUCUAUCAGCAGGGAAGAUAAUGACG
This 444-nucleotide ribosomal RNA is filed under the name uncultured bacterium. Its description in RNAcentral is "bacterial SSU rRNA". It matches the Rfam family "Bacterial small subunit ribosomal RNA", at positions 28 to 456 of the family's 1533-position model. The record is from RNAcentral.